This 497-nucleotide ribosomal RNA is filed under the name uncultured bacterium. RNAcentral describes it as "partial 16S ribosomal RNA". It matches the Rfam family "Bacterial small subunit ribosomal RNA", at positions 28 to 507 of the family's 1533-position model. The record is from RNAcentral.
GACGAACGCUGGCGGCGUGCCUAAUACAUGCAAGUAGAACGCUGAAGAGAGGAGCUUGCUCUUCUUGGAUGAGUUGCGAACGGGUGAGUAACGCGUAGGUAACCUGCCUUGUAGCGGGGGAUAACUAUUGGAAACGAUAGCUAAUACCGCAUAACAAUGGAUGACACAUGUCAUUUAUUUGAAAGGGGCAAUUGCUCCACUACAAGAUGGACCUGCGUUGUAUUAGCUAGUAGGUGAGGUAAUGGCUCACCUAGGCGACGAUACAUAGCCGACCUGAGAGGGUGAUCGGCCACACUGGGACUGAGACACGGCCCAGACGCCUACGGGAGGCAGCAGUAGGGAAUCUUCGGCAAUGGGGGCAACCCUGACCGAGCAACGCCGCGUGAGGGAAGAAGGUUUUCGGAUCGGAAAGCUCGGUUGUAAGUCAAGAACGGGUGUGAGAGUGGAAAGUUCACACUGUGACGGUAGCUUACCAGAAAGGGACGGCUAACUACGUG